CAAAAACCAAAAUGCCUCAUAUAGUAAAAUUCUAUGUUAAAAUCCAGCACCCCAAUAAAAAUCCAAUUUUCUUUAAAACUUCUGAUUUUUAAAUUACAUUAAAGUCAAAGUAGAGACUAAUUUGCCCACAUAUGGCUAAUAAAAAGGCCAAGCAAGGCCAGAGAGAAAUUCAAAUUAGUCUCUCCUUCAAUCCUCACUGUGACAGAGUCUAUGGGAGGGUAAUAGAAGGAAGGUAUUUAGGACCCAGACUCCUCCAUAGCCUGUACUCAUUCACCUGUCCAAUUAGCAACUGCUGAGGCUUUAAUUAGCAGGUCUCAGAGCAGAUAGAGGGGAGAUACAAUCUGACCUGCAAAGAGAGCAGGUCUGUGCAGAGCAGCACCAAACAAAGUGCUAAAGUUUGUUGAAACCAAUGUUUAUUCUGUUGAUUUGUUUAGAUUACCCUGGUUUAGUAAGGGACAUUAAUUUAUGUUUAGUAAGUGCUCGAAUUUGAGCUAGGGUUUUGUUUGAAGAUUUUUCUUUCUGUUUUGCUGCAGUUUUGAACAAACUGAUUGCUGCAUGGCUUUUUGUACACAAUGUGAAUAAACCACACCUUUUUUUUUUUUUUUGCAUAAGAGUCUGUUGUUCUAUACCUGUUACCCU
Non-coding RNA from Pelobates cultripes (western spadefoot toad), 639 nucleotides. NCBI's taxonomy places the organism in Eukaryota, Metazoa, Chordata, Amphibia, Anura, Pelobatidae. The record is from the annotation of a GenBank genome assembly.